AUCGAACUCUUGACCUUGCGCUUGCCAGGCAGGCGCUGAGGAAUUUAAAAACCCAUCUGGACCCCAUCAUCCAUGGCAAAAGAAUUGCGUCUGAUGCUGGAAUCACUACAUGUGCUCUUGUCAAGAUGAAGAAUAGAAGAGUGAAUGAAUUUCUGGCUUAAUAAUUUAAUUCUCACAAAAAGUGUAAGUAUGCACAAUGAUUACUACCAGGUCUUUUGUCAGAAUAAUGCUUCGAUAGCUGAACAAUUGACCCAUACAAGAAAAAUAGUAGGUCAUUGUUAUGGCUUGUAUCUAGAUGUCCCCCCAAAGCCUCAUGCAGUCAUAGGCGCGGGUUUUUGGAGGUGGCAGGAUCUAGAGUGUGUGAUGCUGGGAUUAAGGGUGGGAUGCUGGGAUUGAUACACAGUACGAUGCUAGGAUUAAGGGUGUCCCACCAUGGGUGUGAGUGCUACCCGAAUAGAGUAGAAAGGGUAGAAAGCUGCUUGGCACUUGCUGCUGACUGUUUGCUACUUCUUCACUACUUUGUGGCUUUGUUGCUUUUUGCCUGUCAUGAACUAUGUCUCCUCCGUACGCCCCUCUGCUAUGCCACCCUGCCUGGGAGCUGGCCAACUAUGAACUGAAACCUCUACAA
Molecule: long non-coding RNA, 628 nt
Organism: Chinchilla lanigera (long-tailed chinchilla)
Lineage: Eukaryota; Metazoa; Chordata; Mammalia; Rodentia; Chinchillidae
Exons: 3
Source: RefSeq, a predicted model, not a curated record